CAACACUUUGCUCCAGCCACAUUAAGUGACUACCCGUGCCACAGGAGCUUCCACUUCUGGACUUUUCCUGAUCCUCCAUUACCCACCCCAUUACACAGACACACACACACGACCACUGGCACGACCAUUCUGUCUCAUGUUCCCAGCCCAGGAUCUGCAGGCUGACGGUGGUUCGUGAAAGCAGAUUUGGGGAGCCCACAGUCCCCCUCCACACAUCUUCAAAGAGGACAGAAACGGAAGAGCUGCCCUCUGCUGCUACCACGGAUAACCACGUCCGUCAGCAGCUUCCUAACUUCAGGAUGGUCCCAGCUCCCCCAUAGGUCCAGCUGUCUGCAGUAUCCCGGUCUCUCUGCUCCAUCAACGUUCACAUCUGCAAAUGACAUGCCCAUCCUGGGAUCCCCUAAUUUCUCACUUUGGGGGGUUGUGUUUUUAGUUCUUAUUAGAGUAGAGAAAUAGUCAGCUUUCUUACACUCUUCUCCUCUCCCCUCAUUCCUCAAUACAAUUCUAGUUAAUUCAGCGUACAUAAUAUUAUGACUCUGAA
This is a long non-coding RNA of Equus quagga, 541 nucleotides long. RefSeq lists it as uncharacterized. The transcript has 3 exons. Lineage: Eukaryota; Metazoa; Chordata; Mammalia; Perissodactyla; Equidae. The record is from RefSeq and is a predicted model, not a curated record.